Molecule: ribosomal RNA, 404 nt
Filed under: uncultured bacterium
Lineage: Bacteria
Description: bacterial SSU rRNA
Rfam family: Bacterial small subunit ribosomal RNA
Source: RNAcentral
AUUGAACGCUGGCGGCAUGCCUUACACAUGCAAGUCGAACGGCAGCACGGGGGCAACCCUGGUGGCGAGUGGCGAACGGGUGAGUAAUACAUCGGAACGUGCCCGGUAGUGGGGGAUAGCUCGGCGAAAGCCGGAUUAAUACCGCAUACGACCUACGGGUGAAAGCGGGGGAUCGCAAGACCUCGCGCUACCGGAGCGGCCGAUGUCAGAUUAGGUUGUUGGUGGGGUAAAGGCCUACCAAGCCGACGAUCUGUAGCUGGUCUGAGAGGACGACCAGCCACACUGGGACUGAGACACGGCCCAGACUCCUACGGGAGGCAGCAGUGGGGAAUUUUGGACAAUGGGCGAAAGCCUGAUCCAGCCAUGCCGCGUGCGGGAAGAAGGCCUUCGGUUGUAACCGUACG